GCUCCCUUCGUCUAGAGGCCUAGGACGGAGCCCUCUCAAGGCUUAAACACCGGUUCGAAUCCGGUAGGGAGCGCCA
Molecule: transfer RNA, 76 nt
Filed under: Gammaproteobacteria bacterium
Lineage: Bacteria; Pseudomonadati; Pseudomonadota; Gammaproteobacteria
Also listed under: 2 other names
Description: tRNA-Glu
Rfam family: tRNA
About the family: Transfer RNA (tRNA) molecules are approximately 80 nucleotides in length. Their secondary structure includes four short double-helical elements and three loops (D, anti-codon, and T loops).
Source: RNAcentral